Brassica oleracea var. oleracea is the source of this 399-nucleotide long non-coding RNA. RefSeq lists it as uncharacterized. The transcript is spliced from 3 exons. NCBI's taxonomy places the organism in Eukaryota, Viridiplantae, Streptophyta, Magnoliopsida, Brassicales, Brassicaceae. The record is from RefSeq and is a predicted model, not a curated record.
CAAUUCAACAUCGCAGGUAUUAAAAAAAAUUCUGCAAACUUGGUAUCAGAAGCUGCAAAGAUAAAGGUCAAAACAGUGUUCCAACAAUGGAUUCAAUACAAUAGAGCACAUUGGUAGACUUCUACUCUCCAGUGAUCUAUUAAGUUUUCAGAGGUUCAAAGAGUUCUAUGCUUCAAACACUAUAUGCACUGAGGACGAACCUUACAAAGGUCUUAGUAAUCUGUUAGCCCCUGCAGGAGACUUAUUUUCUUACUUGGAUGAUCUGGCAAAUUCAUUGGAUAUUCAGGCUUACAUAAGAGAGUGUGUUUGGACAGCCGGAAAUUGAUUUCCCACCCCAACACCGUCUAGCUAGCUAGCAUCAGUAGCGUAUUACACCGUUAGAUUGCCAUUAAAAACAAA